Molecule: non-coding RNA, 1187 nt
Organism: Pelobates cultripes (western spadefoot toad)
Lineage: Eukaryota; Metazoa; Chordata; Amphibia; Anura; Pelobatidae
Source: the annotation of a GenBank genome assembly
AUUCAACAUGAUCGCACGCACGAUCUUGAAAUUGGUUCGCCACGACUGUCGUUUGGCACUUGUCACCCCUCUAUGGAGAUCUUGACCAUGGUUCCCUCGCUUGAUGGAGCUGUCAAUAGACUACCCUCGAUUGAUACCGAUCUUCCAGGACCUCCUUCUGGAUCCGGAUGGGAACUCACACGAGCUGGUGAUGCAGCACCAGUUACCCUUGAUAGCAUGGUUCCUUUCAGGGGACCUUGGGUUGUCCCAGACGUUCCGCAGACAACUCUCCUGCUCCUCGAUAACGCCUGGGCCCCGGGUACACGAGCAGCUUAUCGAGCUUCAUGGAGAUCGUGGUCUGGUUGGUGCAUGGAACGGGCAAUGGAUCCCGUAUCUGCCCCUCUACAUCUGAUCCUGGAGUUCCUUACGUUCCUGUUUGACUCGGGCAAGGCAUACCGCACGAUCAACCUUUCCCGCUCGGCUAUUUCGGCCGGUCACAAGGGUUUGGACGGUUCCCCUGUCGGCAGACAUCCCUUUGUAUGUCGCCUUCUCAAGGGUAUUCGCCUUGCUCGUUCUCCUCGGCCUCGUUUUUCUGCCUUUUGGGAUGUCAACGUGAUGUUACAGUUCCUGUCAUCAUGGUACCCUAACCAGGAACUGACUCUCAAGCAAUUGUCAUCCAAGCUCGUGAUGUUACUCUGUUUGGUCUCUUGCAAGAGGGUCUCUGACGUCAGGGCCCUGGAUUGGGACGCCAUUGCCUUCACUCCGGAAGGUGUUACUUUUGACAUAUCGAGGAGGACUAAGUCUGCAUCUAAGUCGUUUACAUACCCUAGGUUUUCAGGUUAUCCGGCACUCUGUCCGGUGGAUUGCCUUAAGGCUUACCUAGACGUUACACGAUCACUUCGUUCCUCCGAACUACAUGCCCUGUUCAUAUCCUUUAAAUCGCCUCACCGACCGGUUUCUACACCUACUCUGGCACGCUGGUUGCGUUGGCUGUUGUCUUCUGCGGGUAUAGACACCUCUGUAUUUACGCCUCAUUCUGUGCGAGGCGCGAUGGCUUUGAAAGCAUCCACAGUCGGAUGUCGUCUGGAAGACAUUAUGCGAGCGGCGGAUUGGUCUCGAGAAUCGACCUUUCGAGAAUUCUAUUUCAGACCAAUUGAACACAUCGGAUCUCGGGUGAUUGCACAGCUUUAAACUUGCAUAAUAUGAGC